RNAcentral lists this unclassified non-coding RNA (253 nucleotides) under uncultured Lactobacillaceae bacterium. RNAcentral describes it as "contains 16S-23S intergenic spacer region". It matches the Rfam family "Bacterial small subunit ribosomal RNA", at positions 524 to 776 of the family's 1533-position model. Lineage: Bacteria; Bacillati; Bacillota; Bacilli; Lactobacillales; Lactobacillaceae. The record is from RNAcentral.
UACGUAUGUUCCAAGCGUUACCCGGAUUUAUUGGGCGUAAAGCGAGCGCAGACGGUUAUUUAAGUCUGAAGUGAAAGCCCACAGCUUAACUGUGGAAGUGCUUUGGAAACUGGAUAACUUGAGUGCAGUAGAGGAAAGUGGAACUCCAUGUGUAGCGGUGAAAUGCGUAGAUAUAUGGAAGAACACCAGCGGCGAAGGCGGCUUUCUGGACUGUAACUGACGUUGAGGCUCGAAAGUGUGGGUAGCAAACAGG